GCUCUGCCUCCUUAGGUGGGAGAUUGCCCACUGUAGGAGCAGUUUAGAUCCUGGGUACCUGCGAGAGAACCAGCCGUCCAUGCAGUGAGACCAGACCUCCUGCCCCACUGGACACCCCAGCCUUCUCUGAGCCACGCGACACUUGGGCACCCAAGUGCAUGGCGUGGACCCCAGGGCCCAUAGGAUCAUGGGUGAGAACUGCCCCUUCAGCCUGAGCUGUGGCCCCUCAUUCGCCAGGACAAAGUCGGACUCCUGUUGCUGUCUUCAUGCCUCCUUACCUCCUCCAAAACACCUGCUGAAAAUCUGCUCCUGGAGCAGCCAUCUCAGCCACCCAGGCAACAACUCCUCCACCAUCCUGGAAGUCAAGGAAAGCAUGAAAACUUUUUCCUACAUGGAGCAUUUCCCCUGUUUUCUGAACAAGCAAGUGGACGAGGGGGUCCUCGCAGAGGCCAAGAUUAAGGUAACAGUAGUCCACAUUUGCUGAGCACAUACUAUAUGCCUGGCAUGGUGUAUUUAACCCUCCUCCAACCUUCCGAGGCAGGUGCUAUCCCCAUUUGACAGAUGCAGAUUCUGAGGCGGAGGGAGGCCGACCACCUUCCCGGGUGAACGCAAGUAGUGAAGAGGUAGAGGCGCAACCUGUGCUCUUCACCGCCACAACCGGCCUCUCCGCCCUGCUCCAGACCGACGCCUCUGAUGCCAGCCUGUGCCUUCGUUCAUCGUGCUUUCGGGCAGUGCGUUUCUAGUAUCGAAGAGGUUUAUCUCGUGCUGUGUGCAACUCACGACCAAAAGGUUACGAGGAGGGGCCUCAUUCC
RNAcentral lists this long non-coding RNA (812 nucleotides) under Mustela putorius furo (domestic ferret). RNAcentral describes it as "lncRNA (ENSMPUG00000027377.1)". The record is from RNAcentral. Lineage: Eukaryota; Metazoa; Chordata; Mammalia; Carnivora; Mustelidae.